CACGAACCGUACGAACGUUAUUCGGAAUUACUGGGCUUAAAGGGUUUGUAGGCGGCUUUGUAAGUCAGGUGUGAAAGCCCUCGGCUCAACCGAGGAACAGCGCUUGAUACUGCAAGGCUUGAGGGAGACAGGGGUAAGCGGAACUGAUGGUGGAGCGGUGAAAUGCGUUGAUAUCAUCAGGAACACCGGUGGCGAAAGCGGCUUACUGGGUCUCUUCUGACGCUGAGGAACGAAAGCUAGGGUAGCGAACGGG
This 253-nucleotide ribosomal RNA is filed under the name uncultured bacterium. RNAcentral's name for it is "partial 16S ribosomal RNA". It matches the Rfam family "Bacterial small subunit ribosomal RNA", at positions 524 to 776 of the family's 1533-position model. The record is from RNAcentral.